This 233-nucleotide ribosomal RNA is filed under the name uncultured anaerobic ammonium-oxidizing bacterium. Its description in RNAcentral is "partial 16S ribosomal RNA". It matches the Rfam family "Bacterial small subunit ribosomal RNA", at positions 439 to 663 of the family's 1533-position model. The record is from RNAcentral.
GGAGUUAAGAAAUGUAGAUUCGCUAAUAUCGGGUCUAUUUGACGAAGGCUCCAAAGGGAGCCACGGCUAACUCUGUGCCAGCAGCCGCGGUAAUACAGAGGUGGCAAGCGUUGUUCGGAAUUAUUGGGCGUAAAGAGCACGUAGGUGGAUUUGUAAGUCAGAUGUGAAAGCCUUCUGUUCAACGGGAGAAUUGCAUCUGAAACUACAGACCUUGAGUAUAGGAGGGGAGAGUG